RNAcentral lists this ribosomal RNA (481 nucleotides) under uncultured bacterium. RNAcentral's name for it is "partial 16S ribosomal RNA". It matches the Rfam family "Bacterial small subunit ribosomal RNA", at positions 28 to 507 of the family's 1533-position model. The record is from RNAcentral.
GACGAACGUUGGCGGCGUGCUUAAUACAUGCAAGUCAACUGAAGCAGUGGUAGCAAUAUCGCUGUGGAGGUGGCGCACGGGGGAGUAACACGUAGGUAAUCUGCCUUCAGGUCUGGCAUAACACCGGGAAACCGGGGCUAAUAGCAGAUGAUGCAGCGGCUCGACAUCGAGACAGUUGUUAAAGCUAUGGCGCCUGACGAUGAGCCUGCGUCUGAUUAGCUAGUUGGCGGGGUAACGGCCCACGAAGGCAAAGGUCAGUGGCUGGUCGGAGAGCAUGAUCAGCCACACUGGAACUGAGACACGGUCCAGACUCCUACGGGAGGCAGCAGUAAGGAAUAUUGCUCAAUGGGAGAAAUCCUGAAGCGGCAGCGCCGCGUGAGGGUCGAAGGCCUUUUGCUUGUAAACCUCUGUAGUGAGAGAAAAAAAUCCCAAUCUUUGGGACAUGAUGGUAUCUCAAAAGUAAGCCCCGGCUAACUACGUG